Molecule: ribosomal RNA, 460 nt
Filed under: uncultured bacterium
Lineage: Bacteria
Description: partial 16S ribosomal RNA
Rfam family: Bacterial small subunit ribosomal RNA
Source: RNAcentral
CCUACGGGAGGCAGCAGUGAGGAAUAUUGGUCAAUGGGCUUAAGCCUGAACCAGCCAAGUAGCGUGAGGGAAGACUGCCCUAUGGGUUGUAAACCUCUUUUGUCAGGGAGCAACGCCGGCUACGUGUAGCCGGACUGAGAGUACCUGAAGAAAAAGCAUCGGCUAACUCCGUGCCAGCAGCCGCGGUAAUACGUAGGGAGCGAGCGUUGUCCGGAAUUACUGGGUGUAAAGGGAGCGUAGGCGGGCGAGAAGGUUGAUUGUUAAAUCUACCGGCUUAACUGGUAGCUGCGUUCAAUACUUGUUGUCUUGAGGGAAGUAGAGGCAGGCGGAAUUCGUAGUGUAGCGGUGAAAUGCGGAGAUAUUAGGAGGAACACCAGUGGCGAAGGCGGCCUGCUGGGCUGUAACUGACGCUGAGGCUCGAAAGCGUGGGGAGCAAACAGGAUUAGAUACCCCUGUAGUC